RNAcentral lists this non-coding RNA (182 nucleotides) under Bacillota bacterium. RNAcentral describes it as "6S RNA". It matches the Rfam family "6S / SsrS RNA". Rfam says of the family: E. coli 6S RNA was the first non coding RNA to be sequenced, but its function was unknown until recently. It consists of 184 nucleotides that fold into an extended hairpin structure with a large single-stranded internal bulge. The 6S RNA specifically associates with RNA polymerase holoenzyme containing the sigma70 specificity factor. Lineage: Bacteria; Bacillati; Bacillota. The record is from RNAcentral.
UUUUUCCUGGAUUAUUCGUUAAAGGAUACAUAAAAGAACCUACACUAACGCAACGGGAACCCGUGUCGUUUAAGCGUUAUGUCAGGCCUCCUCCGAGUGGAAGGCAGAGGCUUAAGUGCAGGGCACCCACCUAUCUACUGAUAGGGCGUCUUUUAUACCCUUGACGGUAAUCCGGGUUUUUU